RNAcentral lists this ribosomal RNA (1920 nucleotides) under Triticum aestivum (bread wheat). Its description in RNAcentral is "partial small subunit ribosomal RNA". The record is from RNAcentral. Lineage: Eukaryota; Viridiplantae; Streptophyta; Magnoliopsida; Poales; Poaceae.
AUGCACAGGGUUGCAUUCAAUGCACAGGCUGAUUUGAAGAAUGUUGUUGCCUCAGAAAAAGCUUCCAAAUCCAUGUUAACUGAGUACUUCAAGGCUAACCAGGAACACCCUUGGGCUAGGAAUAUAUUGUACAAGAAUUUUCCCGGAAGCUUCAUGUGGCAACAGCAAAAGAAGACUUGGAAGCCUCGGGUCGAGCGUUUCCAAAUUGGACGCAUCGUGUCUACCAAUCCUGCCGAAGGGGAGCGAUACUACCUGUGUGUAUUGCUAAACCAUGUUACGGGAAAAACAUCCUUCGACGAUUUACUCACCAUGGUCGGCGUGCUAUGUGGCAGCUUUAGAGAGGCUGGUGAACGGUUAGGUCUCAUCGAGGCAGACAGCACGCUCGAUGAUUGUCUUAAUGAGGCUGAGCAGUGGGUGAUGCCAUGUUCUCUUAGGAGGCUCUUUGCAACCAUCUUGGUGCACUGCGAGCCAGGCUACGUUCAAGGUUUAUGGGAUAGGCUCCUCGAGCCUAUGUUAGAUGACUAUCGUCGAACACGCACGUCCCCGAACAAGGUGGAGCAGUUGGUGUUGCUUGACAUUAGGGGUAUGUUGCAGUCCAUGGGUAAAGACAUUGUUGAUUUUGCUCUUCCAAGCAUCGAUGAUGCCUUUGACCCAACCGAGGGCGAGUGUUGAGAGGUCAUAGAGGAAUCAACCAUUCAGUUUGACAUGGAUGACACUAAAUUGGCAGCUUCCCUGAACUUGGAACAGAGGGCCGCAUACGAUGAGAUACUGGCGGUUAUUGAACGCGGUGAUGGGGGUGUAUUCUUUGUUGAUGGCCCUGGAGGUACAGGGAAGACCUUCCUUUAUAGGGCGAUGCUUGCCACGGUGAGGAGCCAGGGCAAGAUUGGUAUCGCUACUGCGACGUCCGGCGUCGCCGGUUCUAUCAUGCCUGGCGGCAGGACUGCCCACUCGAGGUUCAAGAUCCCAUUGAGUUGCGAUGAUGGGGCCUCGUGCAGCUUCACCAAGCAGAGUGGGACCACCAAGCUGCUACGUAUGGCCUCAUUGAUAAUAUGGGACGAGGCCAGCAUGACGAAGCGACAAGCGGUUGAGGCAUUGGACAAUAGCAUGCGCGACAUCAUGGGAAUACGCGACCGACCCUUUGGAGGAAAGACUAUUGUUUUUGGUGGGGACUUUAGGCAGGUUCUUCCGGUCGUCAGAAGGGGGUCGCGGGGCCAGAUAAUUGAUGCAACCAUCCGAAGUUACUUGCUAAGGGUCGGGAAUGGCACUGAGGAUGUCGACCUUCAAGGCAACAUAGUACUCCUUGGAGAUAUUUGUCUGUCGUCUACAGGCGAGGUUGACGACCUAGAGAAGCUUAUUGAACACGUAUUUCCGAGUCUAGAAGACAACAUGGCUGAUUCGAAUUACAUGACAUGUCGAGCAAUACUUUCCACAACAAAUGACAAUGUAGACAAGAUAAACAUCCGCAUGAUAGAGCGUUUUCAUGGAGAUGAAGUGAUCUAUCAUAGCUUUGACAGUGCGGAGGAUGACCCAUAUGGCUACUAUGCUCAGGAGUUUCUGAAUGGAUUGACUCCUAAUGGUCUUCCUCCGCAUGCUCUCAAGCUAAAGCUGAACUACCCUGUCAUACUUCUACGGAACAUUGAUCCAGCUAAUGGACUGUGUAAUGGCACUAGGCUUGUUGUUAGAGGUUUUGAGAGGAACACCAUUGAUGCAGAAAUCAUCAUUGGAUAACACGCUGGCAGGAGGGUCUUCCUUCCUCGAAUCCCUCUCUGCCCAUCGAAAAAUGACAUGUUUCCGUUCAAGUUUAAGAGGAAGAAAUUUCCAAUAAGGCUUAGCUUUGCUAUGACCAUUAACAAGGCUCAAGGGCAUACCAUCCUGAUUGUUGGUGUCUACCUACCCAAUCCCGUGUUCUCACAUGGUUAG